RNAcentral lists this ribosomal RNA (301 nucleotides) under uncultured bacterium. Its description in RNAcentral is "partial 16S ribosomal RNA". It matches the Rfam family "Bacterial small subunit ribosomal RNA", at positions 509 to 809 of the family's 1533-position model. The record is from RNAcentral.
CAGCAGCCGCGGGAAUACGAAGGGGGCUAGCGUUGCUCGGAAUCACUGGGCGUAAAGGGUGCGUAGGCGGGUCUUUAAGUCAGGGGUGAAAUCCUGGAGCUCAACUCCAGAACUGCCUUUGAUACUGAAGAUCUUGAGUUCGGGAGAGGUGAGUGGAACUGCGAGUGUAGAGGUGAAAUUCGUAGAUAUUCGCAAGAACACCAGUGGCGAAGGCGGCUCACUGGCCCGAUACUGACGCUGAGGCACGAAAGCGUGGGGAGCAAACAGGAUUAGAUACCCCCGUAGUCCCUGUCUCUUAUAU